Non-coding RNA from Meleagris gallopavo (turkey), 1844 nucleotides. The record is from RefSeq and is a predicted model, not a curated record. Lineage: Eukaryota; Metazoa; Chordata; Aves; Galliformes; Phasianidae.
GACUGCAAAUAGCCAUAAAUACAUAUGAGAGGAAAAAAAGAGUAUAGUUUUAGCCCAUCGCAUUGCCUUGUUCCCCCUCAUUAUGUGACUGCACAGACAUCUGGAAGAUGGGAGAGAGAAAUGCCAGAGGCAGUAAGUAGGCACAGGUGAAGACUGAAAGGCACUAUUUAAACAUGUUGAUGAACUGGGCUGGAUUUCUCCCCACCUCCAUUCCAGCAAAACAAGGAGACUCAGAAGAUAAAAUUUGUUUUGUUAUUGCAAGUAGUGCUCCAUGGUUUUAGACAUUAUAGCAAACAUCUUUGCCAUCUCAAGGAUAUACACAGAAUGUUUCUGCUUGAUAUUGUCUGUGAGAAGACCAGGGAAGUUUUUACUGAUUCAGCAUGAAGCUGCUGACCUCUCCACUGGAUGAUGGAGGUGCAGCAUUAAAUAAGAGAUGUGAACUCACCAUAGCAACUCCUGCAUCACAUUGCAGAUAUGCUGCUUCUAAGAUACAGCAAAUGUUUCUGAAGAAAUGUAUCUGAAUAUGAGGCCUCCUUCUGAUGUCCCUGCACAAAUACUACUGUUCACCACAAGAGAUCCAACAGAAUUAUAUGAAUUCAUCCAAGGUGAGAAAUAGGUUUUCUGCUGAACUGUUUUGCAGCUCAAUUUUAAAUUUACAACUGUUUUCCCUUUGUUAUCUAUUCAGUUUGAAUUUUAUUCUCUAAUAAGUGUUUGUUUUGUUUGACCUUACUUAGAUUGGAUUUCCAUCCUAUACAUGAGCAAAAUGUCUUUUUCGUUUGUUUGCUUGUUCAUUUAAACGUUUAAUCCUUUUAGUGAGUCUUUAACUGGUAUAAGCUUUUCCUGUGUUGAGUUUAAUUUUGGCACUUUUACUUUGGAGGCAUUUUCUUUAAUGCAUCCAGUAUUACUUAUAUCUUAAUAAAAAGGUUUUAGAUUGCUACUGAUGUAUUACCAACUUCAUCUUGACCGAAAUUCUUGCUAGCAUGCCUGUUUAUAUGCAUCAAAAAAGCAAGAUUUUCAUAAUGUCUCGUGGGUUAGCAUGCCUGCUGCAAAGCAACUUUUGCAGUCAGUCCUUCCAUGUACUUUACCCAACAAUCCAUAGCAGACUGCUUCUGGAAGGAGAAGUAAGUGAUUACAUCUGCUUUGAUCUUUUUUUGAUAUUAACCAACCGUAAUUUCUCUUCCCAGAUCUCACUUGUACAGGGGAUCACACAUUUUCUCACAUCAUCUAAGACUGAUUAAGAAGAUUAACAAUACUCUUAUUUUUUUUUCUUCUCUUUUUCUUUUCUCCUGCAUUUAUUUCUGUGGGAUCUUCUGUCAAUGCUGGCCAGUUUUCCUGGGAGACACAUGAAACAUCUUUAAUCAGUUUGUUGUGUGCUCAAGGGCUAAAGGCUUCUUUCCCUAGCCCAUGGGGACUAAGUGGAGGAAGAGGAGACAGAGGAAAUUGCUAGUUCUACUAAGUUACUACUCGUAUAAAGGCUUAUCUGGUUAUCUUUUCUUGCUUUUUCUCCUAAGUCUACUUUAGCCUACUUGCACUAAAAGAACUAACUAAUUUGUCAGUGAACAGGAUAUCUGAAGACAUCUACUCUUUUUUUUCUGAAGAAAGGAAAAGUGUGUUGUUCAAAACAGUGGCUCACAGUGGAUACAAAAAUGCUUUGCAUUUGUGAUUGUUGAUGGCCAACACAGUAAGAUGAACCAUAAUGUACUUAGAUGCCAAUUGUCAAUAGAAGCACAGAGCAAUAUACCUACAGAUUUCUUUUACAGAAUAUCACAAAACUAAUAAACACUAAGAGUGUUGCAUGAAUUGUCUGUGGGCUUAACCUCUGAACUUUUAUCCAAUGUAAUCAU